GCCAGCAUGGCAUAGUGGUUUGAGUGUCAGACUACAACUCUAGAGACCAGUGUUCAAUUCUCAGCUUGGCC
This is a non-coding RNA of Phrynosoma platyrhinos (Desert horned lizard), 71 nucleotides long. NCBI's taxonomy places the organism in Eukaryota, Metazoa, Chordata, Lepidosauria, Squamata, Phrynosomatidae. The record is from the annotation of a GenBank genome assembly.